This 433-nucleotide ribosomal RNA is filed under the name uncultured bacterium. RNAcentral describes it as "partial 16S ribosomal RNA". It matches the Rfam family "Bacterial small subunit ribosomal RNA", at positions 29 to 507 of the family's 1533-position model. The record is from RNAcentral.
AACGAACGCUGGCGGCAUGCCUAACACGUGCAAGUCGAACGAGACCUUCGGGUCUAGUGGCGCACGGGUGCGUAACGCGUGGGAACCUGCCUUUAGGUUCGGAAUAACUCAGAGAAAUUUGAGCUAAUACCGGAUGAUGUCUUCGGACCAAAGAUUUAUCGCCUUUAGAUGGGCCCGCGUUGGAUUAGCUAGUUGGUGGGGUAAAGGCCUACCAAGGCGACGAUCCAUAGCUGGUCUGAGAGGAUGAUCAGCCACACUGGGACUGAGACACGGCCCAGACUCCUACGGGAGGCAGCAGUGGGGAAUAUUGGACAAUGGGCGAAAGCCUGAUCCAGCAAUGCCGCGUGAGUGAUGAAGGCCUUAGGGUUGUAAAGCUCUUUUACCCGAGAUGAUAAUGACAGUAUCGGGAGAAUAAGCUCCGGCUAACUCCGUG